RNAcentral lists this unclassified non-coding RNA (329 nucleotides) under soil metagenome. RNAcentral describes it as "partial contains 5.8S ribosomal RNA, internal transcribed spacer 2, and large subunit ribosomal RNA". The stretch from base 1 to 120 matches the Rfam family "5.8S ribosomal RNA", at positions 35 to 154 of the family's 154-position model. The record is from RNAcentral.
GAUGAAGAACGUAGCGAAAUGGGAUAAGUAAUGUGAAUUGCAGAAUUCAGUGAAUCAUCGAAUCUUUGAACGCACAUUGCGCCCCUUGGUAUUCCGAGGGGCAUGCCUGUUCGAGCGUCAUUAUAACCCCUCAAGCUCAGCUUGGUGUUGGGGCCUGCUGCACUGGCAGCCCUUAAAAUCAGUGGCGGCGCCAUCUGGCUCUAAGCGUAGUAAUUCUUCUCGCUAUGGAGUCCUGGUGGAUGCUUGCCAUCAACCCCCAAUUUUUCUAUGGUUGACCUCGGAUCAGGUAGGGAUACCCGCUGAACUUAAGCAUAUCAAUAAGCGGAGGA